This 301-nucleotide ribosomal RNA is filed under the name uncultured bacterium. Its description in RNAcentral is "partial 16S ribosomal RNA". It matches the Rfam family "Archaeal small subunit ribosomal RNA", at positions 459 to 759 of the family's 1478-position model. The record is from RNAcentral.
CAGUCGCCGCGGUAAUACCAGCAGCCCAAGUGGUGGUCGCGUUUAUUGGGCCUAAAGCGCUCGUAGCCUGGCCGGUAAGUUCCCCGUGAAAUCGGGUCGCCCAACGAUUCGGCUUGCGGGGAAUACUGUCGGUCUUGGGGCCGGGAGACGCCGAGGGUACUCCGGGGGUAGCGGUGAAAUGCUGUAAUCCUCGGGGGACUACCAGUGGCGAAGGCGCUCGGCGAUAACGGGCCUGACGGUGAGGGGCGAAAGCUGGGGGCGCGAACGGGAUUAGAUACCCCUGUAGUCCCUGUCUCUUAUA